RNAcentral lists this ribosomal RNA (750 nucleotides) under Triticum aestivum (bread wheat). Its description in RNAcentral is "partial small subunit ribosomal RNA". The record is from RNAcentral. Lineage: Eukaryota; Viridiplantae; Streptophyta; Magnoliopsida; Poales; Poaceae.
AUGAGUGUCUUUAAGCUCCCUGCUUCGGUUUGUGACGAGCUGACUCGUAUGAUCCGGCAGUAUUGGUGGGGAGUUGAAAACGGGAAGAAGAAGAUGGCCUGGAUGAGUUUGGACAGAUUGAGGCUACCUAAACCUAUGGGUGGCAUAGGUUUCAAGGAUAUGAGGGCGUUUAAUCAAGUAUUGUUGGCCAAACAAGCUUGGCGCCUAAUUGAUACGCCGGACAGCCUGUGUGCACGACUUAUGAAAGCCAGAUACUACCCUUCGGGACAACUGUUGGAUACGUCAUUCUCAGGCAACGGUUCUUCAGUUUGGAAGGGUAUUUUACAUGGUCUCGAUCUGCUAAAGAGAGGUGUUAUUUGGAGGGUUGGCAAUGGAGCUGAUAUUCGCACGUGGAGAGAUCCUUGGAUCCCUCGGCCGUCGACGUUUCGCCCUAUUACACCCAAGGGUAACUGUCGGCUGAACCGGGUGGCGGAUUUUAUCGAUGAUAACGGUGCUUGGCGUGUUGAUCGCCAACAGGAGUUCUUUUGGCCUAUGGACGUGGAUCACAUACUAAAAAUCAGAACUUCUCCCCGCAACCGCGAUGAUUUUGUCUCCUGGUUCCCGGAGAAGUCUGGAGUUUUCACGGUAAGGAGCGCGUACAAGUUGGCCACAUGGGAUCAUAACGUCGCUUUCACUAAUGGCUCAUCUAGUACAAACCCGGAGGGUGACCGCUCAGUGUGGAACCGUAUUUGGUCGGCCAAUGUGCCUUAG